UGCCUUAAUAGGCUUAAAAGCUUGUUGAAUAUGUAACUAUUAACUAUUGCCAUAAGUUAGGUUAGGAACAUGUUCAACAAGCUUUUAAGCCUAUUAAGGCAGGGCUGCCCACAACAAAACCCAAAUGAACAAAAUAGUUCUCCGUCUCAAAGCUAGCCCUACUGAUUAUCAAUUACAGUAAGAGAAGAACUCUAUCUUAACCUAGGGCUUAUCUGCACAAAGAACUUGGGGAAUGAGUACUGGUACCGAGUCAGUGAGCAAAUUAAAACUAUCAAAAUUCAGGACAAAAAAUUUCGUCCAUUGCAGCGAAAGAUAAGAGGUAUUCCAAGGAUGAUCACAUUUCUUAGCCUAGCGUUUAACCUUGCGAGGACAGUGAGCUGCCUUUGACUGAGACUUCUUUAGCUUAAAAUUCUUGCCUUUGGAUUUAAAUCCAUCAUCAUCAGAAUCAUCACUUCCACCCCAAAACCUCCGUUUGAACUUCUUCUCAGCACUUCCACAAAUAACAAUCUUACCCUCGUCCUUCUGUUCCACGACUUCAGACUUCUCCUUGGGCUUCCAAAUGAAAAGGGACCUUGAACUGCCAGAUGCCAAAAUAUCAUCCCGAGGGUGUAGCUUGUUCACAGGACUGAUGGUUGUGAUAUUUGGAUCCAUAACUUCGGCAACUAAUUGCCCAGUGCUGACAUCUAUGAAAUCAAUGGGAUGCAAAGCAGCACCAUUAUAAUUUUCACUUAUAUAACGACCAAUAACUGCGAGAGACUCUGAAGGGUCCUUAGGAUCCCAUUCAGCUCGAAAAGGAGUCAGAUGUCUGUUGAAAUCAUGACUAUGUACAAUCUCUCGGCUUGGGGAGUCCAAAUUUCCAAAUAUAGAAUCCCACACACGAAGACGGUUAUCUUGUGCAGUUGUAAGAAUUUUGCUGCCAGACAGUGGAGAGAAAUAUGCACAAUUAACAACACGUUUAUGCACCAGAUCACUAAGAGAAGAUCCUGCUUCGAGUCGACGCAUAUCCCAUAUACGAGCAAAAUGAUCAUUUCCACAGCUCAAAAGAAGCUCUGGAUGAACAGGAUUGCAAUGAAGGCCAACGACUUUGCUACCUUUCUUAUGGAUCAAAACUGCCUCCCCACAUUUAUUGUUGGAGCGCAUAUCUAUCAUAUAGAGAAAACCAAAGUUAUCAGCUAUAAGUACAACAUGUUUCUCUGAGUUGACAUCCAUGCCAUAAAGCAUUCUCCAGCUGCUUGGUCCCUGCCACCCAUCAGGGUUAAGGUUCAACAAAGAUGAUGAAAUUCCAGUCUCCAUGUCAGUGCAACUGAUGGUUCCAUCUGAGGAAGCAGCAUACACCAUACCAUCAUUUGAAGGGUUGAACCUCAUGUUAUUGACAAUACAAGUGUGUAUGUUUGCAUAUACCAUUUUUUCAUGCACUUUCUCAAAAUCCCAGACUCCAACUUGUCCUUUCUUAUCCCCAGAUAGAAGGAUGUUAUUUUUUGUUGGGUGAAAUUCCAAACAAGUCACCCGCCUGCUGUGAUAUCUAAUUACCGCACAACAUACCCGAUCUGGUAUGACAUAUGCUGGCUUUAUCGGGGGUAUGCUUGGUCUAAGCUGGCGCUGGAAAACAUAUUCCAAUGGAUUAUGCGUAUUUCUUAGGGGUGCUGGAAUGACCCCAUACUCAAUAGCCACUCUAUGCGGGCAUGUCAUCGUAGUGUGUCCAGGCAUUUUGCAGAGAAAACAGGGUUUCAUAGGGCAAUCUAUGUAUGUAGCUCCUUUAAAUCCCGCUUCAUGACCAGGUUUUUUGCAAACUUUGCAAACUUUCUUGAGACUAAUAGUAAUGGGAACUUUCCUCUGCUUCUUGGAAUCCAUAUCCUCUUCAUCUUUCUCUCCACUUCCAUUCUCUGUCACUCCUCCUCCUUCUGCAUCUGAUUCUGAUUGGGGAAUAUUCUCUUCUUCGUCAACAUCAUCCUCAUCGUCUGACGAGCUUUGCUCAGAGUCCGUGUCCCUCUCAAUCACCACUUUCGGAAACGCCAUUCUUCUCGUUUGAGGGGCCAUCUCCGAUAUUGUCCGCCUAAAAACAGCAACAAAUGA
This 2073-nucleotide unclassified non-coding RNA is filed under the name Hevea brasiliensis (rubber tree). The record is from RNAcentral. Lineage: Eukaryota; Viridiplantae; Streptophyta; Magnoliopsida; Malpighiales; Euphorbiaceae.